GAUCAGGCUGCUGGUGAGGUAAUGGCCCACCAAACCUGUAACCGGUACGGGCUCUGAGAGGAGGAGCCCGGAGAUGGGCACUGAGACAAGGGCCCAGGCCCUAUGGGGCGCAGCAGGCGCGAAACCUCUGCAAUAGGCGAAAGCUUGACAGGGUUACUCUAAGUGAUUUCCGUUAAGGAGAUCUUUUGGCACCUCUAAAAAUGGUGCAGAAUAAGGGGUGGGCAAGUCUGGUGUCAGCCGCCGCGGUAAUACCAGCACCCCGAGUGGUCGGGACGUUUAUUGGGCCUAAAGCAUCCGUAGCCGGUUCUACAAGUCUUCCGUUAAAUCCACCUGCUUAACAGAUGGGCUGCGGAAGAUACUAUAGAACUAGGAGGCGGGAGAGGCAAGCGGUACUCGAUGGGUAGGGGUAAAAUCCGUUGAUCCAUUGAAGACCACCAGUGGCGAAGGCGGCUUGCCAGAACGCGCUCGACGGUGAGGGAUGAAAGCUGGGGGAGCAAACCGGAUUAGAUACCCGGGUAGUCCCAGCUGUAAACGAUGCAGACUCGGUGAU
This 550-nucleotide ribosomal RNA is filed under the name uncultured archaeon. RNAcentral describes it as "bacterial SSU rRNA". It matches the Rfam family "Archaeal small subunit ribosomal RNA", at positions 223 to 775 of the family's 1478-position model. The record is from RNAcentral.